CAGCAGUCGCCACGGUAAUACAGAGGGUGCAAGCGUUAAUCGGAAUUACUGGGCGUAAAGCGCGCGUAGGUGGUUUGUUAAGUUGGAUGUGAAAUCCCCGGGCUCAACCUGGGAACUGCAUCCAAAACUGGCAAGCUAGAGUAUGGUAGAGGGUGGUGGAAUUUCCUGUGUAGCGGUGAAAUGCGUAGAUAUAGGAAGGAACACCAGUGGCGAAGGCGACCACCUGGACUGAUACUGACACUGAGGUGCGAAAGCGUGGGGAGCAAACAGGAUUAGAUACCCCAGUAGUCCCUGUCUCUUAUAC
RNAcentral lists this ribosomal RNA (304 nucleotides) under uncultured bacterium. Its description in RNAcentral is "partial 16S ribosomal RNA". It matches the Rfam family "Bacterial small subunit ribosomal RNA", at positions 506 to 807 of the family's 1533-position model. The record is from RNAcentral.